This 1119-nucleotide long non-coding RNA is filed under the name Anser cygnoides (Swan goose). RNAcentral's name for it is "lncRNA (ENSACDG00005012946.1)". Lineage: Eukaryota; Metazoa; Chordata; Aves; Anseriformes; Anatidae. The record is from RNAcentral.
GACGGACUACCCCCAGCAUCCCGGCUCUCGCCUGUACGCGGUGCACGCCGCAAAGCCAGAAACGCGAGGCAGAAGGGAAGAAAACCCCCCAGAAAACCCCACACGCGACCCCGCGCACGUGUGGCCGCGGCUAAUUGCGACCCCCGCCGCGCGCCCAGGCGCGGAGCCGGACCCCGCACGGCUCCACCUGCCGGGCGCCCGCACCCCGCGCAGCGCCCCCGCAGCGCCGCCCGCGCACCUUCCGCGGGUGCGGAGCGCCGACAGCGGGCUCAGCCCGGGGGUUGCGGGGGGCGAGCCGCCCCCGUGCCCCCGCAGGACGGCGCCUGUUGCGCGGGACGCCCCCUGCGCCCCCUCCGUCCCCGCGCAAAAGCGGCGCAGCCCCGGCGCUCGCCCUCCCGCCUGGGGAGGGGGCUCGGGGAUCGGGGGGGGGCACACAAAGUUUGGCUCCCGCAGGCAGCGAGGGCACGGGGGCGGCGGGGAGGCAGCCGGCCGGUCACCCCCUCGCUCCCUGCCUCCCUCCCUCCUUCACUCACCUGUCCGUCGCCUCCCCGGCGGUGGCUGAGGGGAAGGCGGGCGGGCGGCGGGCGCGGCCCCGCGCUCCUCUCCCGUCCUUCGGCCCCGGAGGGCGGCGGGGCGGCCGAAGCGGCACCCCCCCGCCGGCCGAGCAGGUGGAGCGGAGCGGAGCAACACGUUUGGGCUCUGAACUUCGCGGCUCUGGUCACAACACAAACAAACACGCAGCCGAGCGAGGACCUCUCCCAGCCGAGCCCAGCCUGCUCGCCAGCCGCUGCCUCUCUUAUUGGUGGGGAGCUUAUUUAUUUAUUUGAUUUCCCCCCCUUCGCCCCCCCCCGCUCUUUCCACACACACACACAUCCNNNNNNNNNNNNNNNNNNNNGUUAUGCUCCUCCGCGGGUGCGUGCAAGGGAGGGUGUGCGGACGUGCGCCGCCGGGGUGGUGUGCAAGGAGACCCCGGCAACCGCAGUGCACUUUGUGCGUGUGCAGCGCUUUCGCCUUUUGCCAGGGCUUGUGUGUGACCAGCGGCGGAGCAGGCUUGAUUUCGCCUCGUACGGGCUGCUGAGCCUUUGUAUUGAUUCUCUCUUUUUUUUUUUUUUAAUUUAA